Molecule: long non-coding RNA, 366 nt
Organism: Neltuma alba
Lineage: Eukaryota; Viridiplantae; Streptophyta; Magnoliopsida; Fabales; Fabaceae
Exons: 2
Source: RefSeq, a predicted model, not a curated record
CAGGGUUUGUGUGAGGUAUUGUACGAGUUCUAGUGUAAAUGAGUCUCUGGCUGGUCCCAAAAAAUUGGAGUUUCAGGUGCAUCAUUCUUGGUUCAGAAUCUGGUUUGAGGAGUAUUUCAAGAACAGAGCUUAAUGUUAGUGCAUAAUUGUGAUCUUUGCUAGUCUCCUUGUUUGGGGUGGAUGACUGAACUAUUGACUGAGAGCAAGGCCGGGUAGGUAAUGAAAAUCCAUGUAAACAAGCUUAACCAGCUCAGCCAGUAUAAUGUUGAAUUUUAAAGAAUGAGAAAAAUGAGGAGAUAAAUUUAUCCUAAUCCAUCUUGUUGCAAAUCUGACCCACAUCUCACUAUAGUUCAUGAGUUUUGAUUA